This 510-nucleotide ribosomal RNA is filed under the name uncultured bacterium. RNAcentral's name for it is "bacterial SSU rRNA". It matches the Rfam family "Bacterial small subunit ribosomal RNA", at positions 40 to 507 of the family's 1533-position model. The record is from RNAcentral.
CGGCGUGCCUAAUACAUGCAAGUCGAACGCAUUGUGGUUGAAAUGAUAUGAAGAACUUGUUCAGAUUUGAUUUCAACAUUGCAAUGAGUGGCGAACGGGUGAGUAACACGUGGGAAACCUACCUCUUAGCAGGGGAUAACAUUGGAAACAAAUGCUAAUACCGUAUAAUAAUUAAAACCGCAUGGUUUUAGUUUAAAGAUGGUCUUGCUAUCACUAAGAGAUGGUCCCGCGGUGUAUUAGUUAGUUGGUGAGGUAAUGGCUCACCAAGACAAUGAUACAUAGCCGAGUUGAGAGACUGACCGGCCACAAUGGGACUGAGACACGGCCCAUACUCCUACGGGAGGCAGCAGUAGGGAAUCUUCCACAAUGGACGAAAGUCUGAUGGAGCAACGCCGCGUGUGUGAUGAAGGGUUUCGGCUCGUAAAACACUGUUGUAAGAGAAGAAUGACAUUGAGAGUAACUGUUCAAUGUGUGACGGUAUCUUACCAGAAAGGAACGGCUAAAUACGUG